Long non-coding RNA from Sapajus apella (tufted capuchin), 1308 nucleotides. RefSeq lists it as uncharacterized. Lineage: Eukaryota; Metazoa; Chordata; Mammalia; Primates; Cebidae. The transcript has 4 exons. The record is from RefSeq and is a predicted model, not a curated record.
CCCACCGAGCGUCCCCCGCGCGCCCCCGGACCCCCAGCCGGCUGACCCCCGGCCAGGCAGGCCCGCGGGGUAGGCAGGACCGGAGCCCGGAGGCCCUGGCCGGCCUCGGGGUUGAGGCUCAGCUCAGGAUAAGUGAUCUUUGGGGCCCGCAGAGGACGUCUCCCCAAGACCCAGUGCCAGCCGGCUUUUACUGAGGCUCUUCUUGAUACACAGGGACCUGUGUUGGGCCUUGGAGCUACAAAGCUAAAAGACACUUGAAAGGCUGAACAAGUGAUUACAAGGCAGUGUGGGUAAACUGUAUCUUUGGAAACACCCCCAAAGGCAUUUGGAUUCAAGUCUGGAGAAUAGGCAAAUUCAAUGGAAACUUGGGCAGUGACUAUCCCUGUGAGCUUCAGUUUUGUCAUCUGUGAAGUGGGAUAAUAACACCUAUCUUUGGAGGUUGUGAAAAUCAAGUGAAAUGAUUCAUACAAAGAGCUUGCUUCAUGACUGGUGCACACCAGGUGUUCAAAAAUGAAUGCCACUAUGUAUGAUGAUACGAACGUAUUAGUGACUCCAGUUGGCGGCAAGCCGGAGCUAACUAAUCUCAGAGGGAGGGGAGGGGAGAGGUGAGGAGUGGGUGGGAGCUGUCCAUGGUUCUGCGUCCAUUCAGCCAAGAAGCCAUUUGACUGAGGAAACAUCAGUGAUCACCUCUUUUGGGUCAGUACUCUUCUUGGCACCGAAUUCUUCAGGCAAAAGGAAAGCGCUUAUCUAGGUUCUCAGAGUCUCAUUCACAGAGAGGUGAGAGUGUUGGCGAGCAUAGGGCUGUCUCAUGUACGUGAAUCUCUGUGGGCACGUUGUUCUAACACUGUGAGUGUAAUCUGUGUGUGUGUGUGUGUGUGUGUGUGUUUGUAGUGAGAAACAGGGGAGGGAGGAUGGGAAGAGGCCUUGUGGGUGGCAGCUGAGAUGAAGGUGGGUUAUUGCUGUAAUGCAGCCCACCUGUGUAAACUAGCCAGCAUGGAGGUCCCAGCUCAGUCACGAGGAAAGGAUGGUCUCCCGGAAACCCCUGAAGAGACUGCAGGGCACACCAACUUCCACCCCAUCCCCAUCCCAGCCUACCAGAGGAGAGUAAAUCUGAGGACAGAGCUGAGCUGUUCCCCUGCUGGGCACUCCAAACUAAUUUUCUGGUACAUUAUACACUUGGCCUUUCGAACAAUCAAUGGCCUUAAAUGCUGUUUGGUUCCUACAGCCAAAUCCAAGAGAAAUAAGACAUAAUCCAUCUGGCGGAUAUGGCCAGGGCAGAGAGGGAGGGAGGGAAAGAGGAGUCUAGAG